RNAcentral lists this ribosomal RNA (1503 nucleotides) under Limosilactobacillus fermentum. RNAcentral describes it as "bacterial SSU rRNA". It matches the Rfam family "Bacterial small subunit ribosomal RNA". The record is from RNAcentral. Lineage: Bacteria; Bacillati; Bacillota; Bacilli; Lactobacillales; Lactobacillaceae.
GGAUGAACGCCGGCGGUGUGCCUAAUACAUGCAAGUCGAACGCGUUGGCCCAAUUGAUUGAUGGUGCUUGCACCUGAUUGAUUUUGGUCGCCAACGAGUGGCGGACGGGUGAGUAACACGUAGGUAACCUGCCCAGAAGCGGGGGACAACAUUUGGAAACAGAUGCUAAUACCGCAUAACAGCGUUGUUCGCAUGAACAACGCUUAAAAGAUGGCUUCUCGCUAUCACUUCUGGAUGGACCUGCGGUGCAUUAGCUUGUUGGUGGGGUAACGGCCUACCAAGGCGAUGAUGCAUAGCCGAGUUGAGAGACUGAUCGGCCACAAUGGGACUGAGACACGGCCCAUACUCCUACGGGAGGCAGCAGUAGGGAAUCUUCCACAAUGGGCGCAAGCCUGAUGGAGCAACACCGCGUGAGUGAAGAAGGGUUUCGGCUCGUAAAGCUCUGUUGUUAAAGAAGAACACGUAUGAGAGUAACUGUUCAUACGUUGACGGUAUUUAACCAGAAAGUCACGGCUAACUACGUGCCAGCAGCCGCGGUAAUACGUAGGUGGCAAGCGUUAUCCGGAUUUAUUGGGCGUAAAGAGAGUGCAGGCGGUUUUCUAAGUCUGAUGUGAAAGCCUUCGGCUUAACCGGAGAAGUGCAUCGGAAACUGGAUAACUUGAGUGCAGAAGAGGGUAGUGGAACUCCAUGUGUAGCGGUGGAAUGCGUAGAUAUAUGGAAGAACACCAGUGGCGAAGGCGGCUACCUGGUCUGCAACUGACGCUGAGACUCGAAAGCAUGGGUAGCGAACAGGAUUAGAUACCCUGGUAGUCCAUGCCGUAAACGAUGAGUGCUAGGUGUUGGAGGGUUUCCGCCCUUCAGUGCCGGAGCUAACGCAUUAAGCACUCCGCCUGGGGAGUACGACCGCAAGGUUGAAACUCAAAGGAAUUGACGGGGGCCCGCACAAGCGGUGGAGCAUGUGGUUUAAUUCGAAGCUACGCGAAGAACCUUACCAGGUCUUGACAUCUUGCGCCAACCCUAGAGAUAGGGCGUUUCCUUCGGGAACGCAAUGACAGGUGGUGCAUGGUCGUCGUCAGCUCGUGUCGUGAGAUGUUGGGUUAAGUCCCGCAACGAGCGCAACCCUUGUUACUAGUUGCCAGCAUUAAGUUGGGCACUCUAGUGAGACUGCCGGUGACAAACCGGAGGAAGGUGGGGACGACGUCAGAUCAUCAUGCCCCUUAUGACCUGGGCUACACACGUGCUACAAUGGACGGUACAACGAGUCGCGAACUCGCGAGGGCAAGCAAAUCUCUUAAAACCGUUCUCAGUUCGGACUGCAGGCUGCAACUCGCCUGCACGAAGUCGGAAUCGCUAGUAAUCGCGGAUCAGCAUGCCGCGGUGAAUACGUUCCCGGGCCUUGUACACACCGCCCGUCACACCAUGAGAGUUUGUAACACCCAAAGUCGGUGGGGUAACCUUUUAGGAGCCAGCCGCCUAAGGUGGGACAGAUGAUUAGGGUGAAGU